Molecule: non-coding RNA, 1102 nt
Organism: Doryrhamphus excisus (bluestripe pipefish)
Lineage: Eukaryota; Metazoa; Chordata; Actinopteri; Syngnathiformes; Syngnathidae
Source: RefSeq, a predicted model, not a curated record
GUCGCUAGAUGGCAGCAUAAGACAACAAAUCGUAAAGGAAACGGAAACGCAUUCUGUGCGUGUUAUUCAGCUAAUAAAUACUUCCUAGCACCCUAUAUAACGCGAUUUGGACUGCGUGCGUGAUUGUGUGUGACACUUUCACUUUCACUUUCACCAUCCUACAAUAUAAUGGUCACACAACGAGGGCGCCAUUUUACUGUGUUCAGGGGCAUGCCGCAUUUUCUUGUACUUCACCUGGAAAGAUGCUGAGUCUUACUGAUAUUGUACAAGUGAAAGGUCAGCUCUAAUUGGCUUAAUGGAUUGUGUCGAGCAACAACAAGCAGAUCCCGACUCUGUCAAGAUCUGACGGAAAGCCAAACAGAUCAACAAGUCAGCCGAAGAACAGACAAGUACUAGACACAACACACACACACACACACACACACAUGAUCAAGUUUUGUGCUGUUGUGUGACCCAUGACCACCGUUUAAAGACACGUAGUUUGAUGUUUACACUUUGGAUGAGCGUUGAUGCUGUGAUGUAUCAUGCUGCACCUGCAUCAUAACAUCCAUACCAGCCUGGGUAUUACUCGCUAUGUACAUACGUAGAUGACGUGGCUAAUAGUAUAAUAGCGUGGUGUUUACACAGACGCAUGACUGCAGAGGCUUUUAUUUUGACAGAGUAAUGGAUGGUCCAGAGAUGGUCGACAGUAUCAGAGCACCGCUGUUGUGUCUACAAGGUCGUCUCUAACAGCACAUGCUACUUUCAUUGCUCAAGCCGACCGAUGACAGACUGAGUGCUCACUUUGGUCUGAUUUAGGGCCCCGUGGUUUCCACCUCCGCCCAAUCACGGAAUUGGACAAUGAAAACUGAAAUGACUGCUAAAUGUGGGAGGAAUGAACACAAAAAAGGAACCCAAAAAAAGUCACUCUACUAAACGUGUCAAAAAGUUGUCGAGAAACCUCGAACACGCCUCUCUUACGGUAGCUUAGUUUAGCAGAGCAUGCUAGUACCACUCAGGUCACCAGACUAGUCAAGAGUUCUACUAUUUGUGUGAAUUACAUCAUCCAUCCAUCUCUUUUACGGCAGUUACAGACCCUAAACAAUGUCUGCUACGCAUUUAA